ACCAGCAGCUAUAUCACUCUGCAACUCCCAGCUGGCAGCCUGACUGAAGCUCAGCAGGUGUGAGCCUGGUCAGUACCUGGAUGGGAGACCUCCUGGGAAAAACUAAGGUUGUUGCUGGAA
RNAcentral lists this ribosomal RNA (120 nucleotides) under Lepisosteus oculatus (spotted gar). Lineage: Eukaryota; Metazoa; Chordata; Actinopteri; Semionotiformes; Lepisosteidae. The record is from RNAcentral.